Molecule: ribosomal RNA, 496 nt
Filed under: uncultured bacterium
Lineage: Bacteria
Description: bacterial SSU rRNA
Rfam family: Bacterial small subunit ribosomal RNA
Source: RNAcentral
ACUCAAAGGAAUUGACGGGGGCCCGCACAAGCGGAGGAGCAUGUGGUUUAAUUCGAUGAUACGCGAGGAACCUUACCCGGGCUCGAACGUAUGUUGAAUAACAUGGAAACAAGUUAGUCGUAAGACAACAUACGAGGUGCUGCAUGGUUGUCGUCAGCUCGUGCCGUGAGGUGUCAGGUUAAGUCCUAUAACGAGCGCAACCCCUACUGUUAGUUGCCAGCAAGUAAUGUUGGGGACUCUAGCGGAACUGCCUACGCAAGUAGUGAGGAAGGUGGGGAUGACGUCAAAUCAGCACGGCCCUUAUGUCCGGGGCGACACACGUGCUACAAUGGUCGAUACAGAGGGCUGCUACGCGGCGACGCGGUGCUAAUCUCAAAAAUCGACCUCAGUUCGGAUCGGAGUCUGUAACUCGACUCCGUGAAGUUGGAUUCGCUAGUAAUCGCACAUCAGCCAUGGUGCGGUGAAUACGUUCCCGGGCCUUGUACACACCGCCCGU